Molecule: long non-coding RNA, 393 nt
Organism: Ostrea edulis (European flat oyster)
Lineage: Eukaryota; Metazoa; Mollusca; Bivalvia; Ostreida; Ostreidae
Exons: 2
Source: RefSeq, a predicted model, not a curated record
GUGAUUAGAGAUUUGAAUGAGAUGACUCUGGACAGAAAAAAAUUAUUAAAAAUAUACAACGGAUAGACAGCUGUUAUUAGAGGAUUUUAAUUAUUAAAGAAGAAAUACUGGGAGUGAAUGGGACCCUGAAACUGGCUGAUGGAAAGAACUCGAUCAGCACAGCUGUGAAUAUAAAGGAUGCGACAAAGUCUACCAACAAAAGGGGAAACUGACUUUGAAUAUGAAAAUUCAACAUAGCUUUAUCGACAUCAUCGUCGGAAACCCACGGUUAAUGGAGAGAGGAACGAAGCGUAAUCAACCGUGGGUUUCCGACAAUGCAUUGACAUCGGUCACUUACUUGUUUUGCUUUUGUUGUUUUUGUUUGGUAUUUAACAUUAAAGAGAGAUUACUUGA